Tribolium castaneum (red flour beetle) is the source of this 609-nucleotide long non-coding RNA. RefSeq lists it as uncharacterized. The transcript has 2 exons. The record is from RefSeq and is a predicted model, not a curated record. NCBI's taxonomy places the organism in Eukaryota, Metazoa, Arthropoda, Insecta, Coleoptera, Tenebrionidae.
GCACUGGUUUGAAAAUAAACCUGAUCUUAAAUACAUUCAUUUGGCGGGUAAUAUGAUUAAAAAAAUUUCAGCCGAUCAAUUUGCGAGUUUAAAAGGGAAAACAUCGAUGUCAGUUUAUUUGGGUAAUAAUCCUGUAGAGAAAAUAGAAGAUGAUGCUUUCAAAGGACUUGAAGAAAUGUCACUCUUGUGUUUGAACAAUAUCAACCUUACAAAUAUCACCGGAACAUUUCUUCAAGAUGUUCAAAUGGAAAUUUUGGGAAUCAACGGAAACAAAAUUAACUGCGUUAAUGAGGACGACUUUGCUAAAGUUUUUGUAGCUAAGACGACUGAAAUGAAGGGAAAUCCACUGGAAGCUAAUUGUUUGAGCAAAAUUCAACUUUGGGCCCAAAAACACAACAAAACUGUUGUCACAAAGCCUGAGGCUUUCUUUCUAAAUUGCACAUAACAAAUAAGCAAGUUCAGGGUCCUGAAGAAUUGCCAGCUGAAACAUUCUAGGAAUUCCUGAAGCUUGUCUACCGGAAUUACCGCAAAGGUGUAACCUUUCACUACUUCUGCUGUUCAAAAUUUAUUAACAUAGUCGAGUUCCAUGUAAAUAAAAAAUAAAACACA